Malus domestica (apple) is the source of this 1090-nucleotide long non-coding RNA. RefSeq lists it as uncharacterized. The record is from RefSeq and is a predicted model, not a curated record. Lineage: Eukaryota; Viridiplantae; Streptophyta; Magnoliopsida; Rosales; Rosaceae.
GAGAUUUAUUAAGGGUAUUUUUAGCAUUUAAAGCAAAAUACAGCCAAGGAUGGAAAGAGUAGGAAGGUUAGCAUGCAUGACAAAGGAUUGUCUGAAGAAAGCAGAGCCCCUAUUUUGGUGAAAUUUUGCUCUUCUCUCUCUCCAUCCCUCUCAAAAAACCUCAGACUCUCUCACUCUGUCUCUCUGAAAGACUUCAACUUUCUCCAUUUCCACACCGCAAACCGCAACUCAAGAUCUGAAGUUAUCAACUUUGCAGAAGAAAGAAAAAGGAAAAGGUAUGGCUGGAAACCAAGGAAAUGACAUCGUUCCGAUGGAGAAGGAGAAGCUGAUGAAGAAAAUACAGAAAGCAGAAUAUAAGAUUUCAAAGCACCAAAAGCGAAUCACUUCUGGAGUGUCAACUUGGGUGAAACAUGUCAUCCUCUGCCUUGGCUUCCAAGUAGGAUUUACUUGGACCUUGACCGGCAACAGAGUUUGGAGAUGCUCGGACUACUUUCUCUUCCUUGGGUGCUAUCUGGUCUUAUGUGCUUUUGGUUGGCUUCAACUGUUUCUGACCGGACGCUACUAUAUCCAAAGCGUUAUGAAGUGUGACCGGCGCUGGAGAGAAUGCAGAGACUUGGAGGGUAGGCUUGCUGUUCUUAAGGGAUCAUCAAGGGUCCAGGACUUUGAUGAUGGACAUCAGUGUCACAUCGUCUUGGGAAUUAUGGCUCUGCUCUGUGUGGCCUCUUGCAUGCUUGCCAUGUUCAUCCUUUUCUUGGAGGCGUUUUCGGGUAACCUUGCCGAUGUGUGCAGGGGAAACUGAAGAGUAACUAAGCCAUGGAGGGUCAUAUUUCACUUUCAGUACAUUUGGAUGUAAAAGCUUAAUUUCGACUAGUUUAUUUACUUGUUAUUGCAUUUGUGUUGUCGUUUGAAUUUUGUUGCAUCCAAUCCAAUUGUCACCCCUCCUUGUCCCGAUAUUGAUUGCGCCAUUCUUGGGUAUGGGACUCAGGACCAGCUCUGAGAAUUUAGGGGCCCUAGAUGAGCCUUCGAAGUUGAGCUCUAGAGUUCUCUGACCUUAUCCUUAUAUUGAUAUGUAUAAAAUCAUCUUCUGCAA